RNAcentral lists this non-coding RNA (28 nucleotides) under Mus musculus (house mouse). Lineage: Eukaryota; Metazoa; Chordata; Mammalia; Rodentia; Muridae. The record is from RNAcentral.
CCGAAGUUCAAGGCAUCCUCUACACAUA